This 329-nucleotide ribosomal RNA is filed under the name uncultured eukaryote. RNAcentral describes it as "partial 18S ribosomal RNA". It matches the Rfam family "Eukaryotic small subunit ribosomal RNA", at positions 1470 to 1796 of the family's 1831-position model. The record is from RNAcentral.
CCCUUAGAUGUUCUGGGCCGCACGCGCGCUACACUGACUGGUGCAACAAGUGUCUGACCUUGGCUCGUGAGGCCUGGGCAACCUUUGAACGCCAGUCGUGCUGAGGCUAGAUUAUUGCAAUUAUUAAUCUUCAACGAGGAAUGCCUAGUAAGCGUGAUUCAUCAAAUCGCGUUGAUUACGUCCCUGCCCUUUGUACACACCGCCCGUCGCUCCUACCGAUUGAAUGUGUUGGUGAGGAGCUCGGAUUGGCAGCGGUUGGUGGUUCGCCACCGGCCAUUGCUGAGAAGUCCUCCAAACCGCCCCAUUUAGAGGAAGGAGAAGUCGUAACA